CACCAGUCAGUGCCCAGCUCUCCUGCUCUUUGGGUUUCUGUGCUGCAGUGGGAGCUGCCGUAGUGGUGCUCCCGUCUGAGCUGUCGUGGUUUGAGUGCUGGCUGAGGCUCUGGGCUGUGGGUGUCACUGCUGUCUUCCAGUCCACUGUCCUGCUCCCGGGCCUGCUGACAACCAGCUGUUGAAGGUGUGUCUAAACAGGAGGGAUCAGGAAGAAGCAGCAGCAGCAGCAGACUGGGAGUCAGAGUCAGAGUUGGGUUCGAGUGACAGUCCCUUCACCUAAUGAUUAGAUGCUUUCACUGCCCCAGAUGAGCCCACAUUAAGAGACGAUCCCGACUUGUGGUGUCCAAGAUUAUCACAUAUUGAUGGAAAUAUCCAGACUCUGACUAUGGUUCCCCAGUGAAGCUGGUUUCACAGUCAAAACCUACAUGAAGAUGAGAGGGAGCACUGUGGGGAUUGGCUGGCCCUAUGCUCCAUAUUCACAGAAGCAGGAUGAGGCUGGGAAGCCUGCUGAGAAAAUGGUGUUGUAAUCAGGAGCCGGCAGUUCUGCCUGAUCAGCUUACUAUGACCUGGACGACUGAGGAUUUGCACGGACACACCACAAAAAGAGACAGUCGGUGGGCCUUGCUCAUAUGUAGGAGGGUGGGGGGGCCUUUAGAUGUUUGUAACCAGUGGCCCAUUGUCUCAAUCAGUUUAUGCUGAUCAGGUGAGACUUCAUGUACGUGUAAAGAUUCCCACCUACUACAGCUUAUAACUCCUGGGGUCUUUUGUUCCCCCAGCUGGGGGCCAUUAGCCUGAGGACCUUGUCAACAGCCACCAGGGAGCAACCAGUGUUUGGGAAGGCGAGUGUCUAUUCAGUCGUUAAGGGAAUGACCAU
Long non-coding RNA from Monopterus albus (swamp eel), 874 nucleotides. RefSeq lists it as uncharacterized. The transcript has 5 exons. The record is from RefSeq and is a predicted model, not a curated record. Lineage: Eukaryota; Metazoa; Chordata; Actinopteri; Synbranchiformes; Synbranchidae.